Small nucleolar RNA from Piliocolobus tephrosceles (Ugandan red Colobus), 91 nucleotides. RefSeq annotates it as small nucleolar RNA SNORD116. Lineage: Eukaryota; Metazoa; Chordata; Mammalia; Primates; Cercopithecidae. The transcript has a single exon. The record is from RefSeq and is a predicted model, not a curated record.
GGAUCGAUGAUGACUUAAAAAUUCUCAUCGGAAUCUCUGAACAAAAUGAGUGACCAAAUCACUUUUGUGCCACUUCUGUGAGCUGAGGUCC